GCCCCUCGAAAUCGCCAGAUUUCGAGAUGUAGCCUUCCAAGCUCAUGGCCCGGGUUCAAAUCCCGGCCGGCGCA
RNAcentral lists this transfer RNA (74 nucleotides) under Haloprofundus sp. MHR1. Its description in RNAcentral is "tRNA-Gly". The record is from RNAcentral. Lineage: Archaea; Methanobacteriati; Methanobacteriota; Halobacteria; Halobacteriales; Haloferacaceae.